UAGGGAAUCUUCGGCAAUGGACGAAAGUCUGACCGAGCAACGCCGCGUGAGUGAAGAAGGUUUUCGGUUCGUAAAACUCUGUUGUUAGAGAAGAACAAGGACGUUAGUAACUGAACGUCCCCUGACGGUAUCUAACCAGAAAGCCACGGCUAACUACGUGCCAGCAGCCGCGGUAAUACGUAGGUGGCAAGCGUUGUCCGGAUUUAUUGGGCGUAAAGCGAGCGCAGGCGGUUUCUUAAGUCUGUUGUGAAAGCCCCCGGCUCAACCGGGGAGGGUCAUUGGAAACUGGGGGACUUGAGUGCAGAAGAGGAGAGUGGAAUUCCAUGUGUAGCGGUGAAAUGCGUAGAUAUAUGGAGGAACACCAGUGGCGAAGGCGGCUCUCUGGUCUGUAACUGACGCUGAGGCUCGAAAGCGUGGGGAGCAAACAGG
RNAcentral lists this ribosomal RNA (429 nucleotides) under Gemmatimonadota bacterium. Its description in RNAcentral is "Gemmatimonadetes bacterium partial 16S ribosomal RNA". It matches the Rfam family "Bacterial small subunit ribosomal RNA", at positions 355 to 776 of the family's 1533-position model. The record is from RNAcentral. Lineage: Bacteria; Pseudomonadati; Gemmatimonadota.